UGGAGAGGCAGCUCAGUGCUAGAGUACUGGCCUAAUAUGUGUGAGGCCUGGGUUCAAAUCCCAGCACUAUAA
Molecule: transfer RNA, 72 nt
Filed under: Marmota monax (woodchuck)
Lineage: Eukaryota; Metazoa; Chordata; Mammalia; Rodentia; Sciuridae
Description: tRNA.Ile
Source: RNAcentral